GACGAACGCUGGCGGCGUGCUUAACACAUGCAAGUCGAACGGAAAGGCCCUGCUUUUGUGGGGUGCUCGAGUGGCGAACGGGUGAGUAACACGUGAGUAACCUGCCCUUGACUUUGGGAUAACUUCAGGAAACUGGGGCUAAUACCGGAUAGGAGCUCCUGCUGCAUGGUGGGGGUUGGAAAGUUUCGGCGGUUGGGGAUGGACUCGCGGCUUAUCAGCUUGUUGGUGGGGUAGUGGCUUACCAAGGCUUUGACGGGUAGCCGGCCUGAGAGGGUGACCGGCCACAUUGGGACUGAGAUACGGCCCAGACUCCUACGGGAGGCAGCAGGGGGGAAUAUUGCACAAUGGGCGGAAGCCUGAUGCAGCAACGCCGCGUGCGGGAUGACGGCCUUCGGAUUGUAAACCGCUUUCGCCUGUGACGAAGCGUGAGUGACGGUAAUGGGUAAAGAAGCACCGGCUAACUACGUG
Molecule: ribosomal RNA, 468 nt
Filed under: uncultured bacterium
Lineage: Bacteria
Description: partial 16S ribosomal RNA
Rfam family: Bacterial small subunit ribosomal RNA
Source: RNAcentral